This 46-nucleotide non-coding RNA is filed under the name Schistosoma bovis. RNAcentral also lists the same sequence under 1 other name. Lineage: Eukaryota; Metazoa; Platyhelminthes; Trematoda; Strigeidida; Schistosomatidae. The record is from RNAcentral.
GCACUGCUGAGGAGUCCUAAAGUAGGACGAAACGGUCGUCCAGUGC